RNAcentral lists this long non-coding RNA (453 nucleotides) under Homo sapiens (human). RNAcentral's name for it is "HSALNT0051892". Lineage: Eukaryota; Metazoa; Chordata; Mammalia; Primates; Hominidae. The record is from RNAcentral.
GCAACUUGACUUCAGAAGAGAAAGGCAGAGAGGCAGCUUGACUUUAGGGGAGAGCAACCUUUCCUUUCUGUCUCCUUUCCAGCUCUCCUCUCCACUGACAGCUGCUUUACUCACUCAAAAUUCUCCACAUUCACCGUCUUUCAAUUCAUCCGCGUGACUUCAUUCCUCUUUGGCACUGGACAAGAAUUCAGGACACACCAGAUAUUCCAUAGGGGAAAGAAGGAGAGCUGAGAAUGCACAGAAAUUUUCAUGUGCCAAGUUUGGAAGUGAUGGUGUCAGAAGCAGGAUCCCAAGCAGAGCUUCUAGUGACCUCCAGGAGCGCUGAGUGAACACUCGAGGUACCAGCACUCGAGGACCCACUUGUGUCCAUGGAUCUCUCAGAGCGGCUCCGGAUGGUGGGAUCAUCUGAGAAAUGUAUUGCAAACAGCAUUUGGUUAUUACACCCAAAGAGGC